RNAcentral lists this long non-coding RNA (3395 nucleotides) under Trifolium pratense (red clover). Its description in RNAcentral is "long non-coding RNA (TPRA_LNC003411)". The record is from RNAcentral. Lineage: Eukaryota; Viridiplantae; Streptophyta; Magnoliopsida; Fabales; Fabaceae.
AGUAACCGUUAAAUUCAGGAAUUUCAAAAUAUGAAUAUGGAGAAAGCAAAUCUUGAAGAGAUUCAUAUAGUGAAUGAAGAACAGAGAGAAGCUGUGAUGGAAGAACAUUUUGUAACACUGUGAGUAACCCUAACAAUGACCACAUUUGUGAUAAUAUCUCCAUUUUUUGUAUGAGAUUUUUUUUGUGUUGUUUUAGUUCUGAAUAAUUGAAUAGAAUGUAAUUGCAUUGUUUUGUGUUGGGUUGUGAAUGAAAAAGAAGGAUUAAAUAAUUAUGAAAUUGCAUUGAGGAGGGUAAAGUUAAAGGUAAAGAUGAUUAAACCGACCACUUUACUUUUUUUGCUUUUACUUUGUUGGUUUGUAGAUAUGGUUGAUUUUCUUUGUUCAUGGAUGGACUUAGUAUAGAAUUAUUUGCAUGGUUACUAUAUACAAUCGUGUGUUACACUUAAGACAUGCUUUGUCUUAGUAUAGAAUCUUUGAAAAUGAAAAUUUAUGUUUGCCAAAGGUUCUUUCUUCCAUUUUGUUGCUCUUUUUUAUUUUUUCACCAAAAAAAAUCAAUUGCAUCAAUGGUACAUUACUACAUUUCUAUCUUUGUUGCCUAGAAACCAAAACCAAGAAAAAUGCUUGUUUUUGCCAAUGGUUCAGUCGCAAGUCGCAACCUUCAUCCAUUGUAGUUUUUGUUUUUUUGUUUUUAAUAAAUAACCAUUUUGGUUGCUAGAUGUGUGAGGCGUUCUCACUAUAGGGUCAUUUUGAUUCGUAAAAAGUAAAUACCGGAUAUAACAAUACAAGAUAAAUAUUUAAGUUAUUGAACAAAUUUUUAUUUACAUGUUUUAAAUACCCUGUGCAAGGGACAAAAAGUUGUCCUCUGAUUUAGUGAGGGAAAAAUUUCAGUUUUUUCCGGUCUCUUGUCCCCCAAUUUGUCUAGUCUUAAGAAUGGUUUUAAGAUCAAAACAGUACAAUUAAAGUUGUCCUGUUCAAUCCCUUAUAUUUUAGUAGAUCAAACGCAAAUCUUUUUUUUGUGGAUAAACAACCAUUUUGGUGGUCUUUGAAUGUGAGAUGUUGUUACUAUAGUAUCUGAGUAUAUUGAAAUUACAAAUAAAUCUCUAAGUGUCUCUUUUGUUAGUAAUUUUAUUUAUGAACUAAAUUGACCAACAAAAAUACAUUCGAGUACUAAACUAACUAACUAAAGAUGAGAAUGGAUUCUCUCAAGUGUGAUUUACACUUGAGAGAAUAAAGUGUAAUCUAACACCAUCUAAAUUCAUUUUCUCUAAAUUUUUAUAUGUUUCUCUCCCUUAAUCAAUGGUAACAAACCACACUUUAUUCUCUCAAGUGUAAAUUACACUUGAGAGAAUCCAUUCCCAACUAAAGAUACAUUUAAGGACCAAAAUGAGUAACAAAAGACUCGUUUAUGUAUUUUUGUUUUUAAUUUUGAUACAUUCAAAUACCAUUGUGACAACACAUCACACAUUUAAGAAUCAAAAUCACUGUUUACUCUUUUCUUUCUUUCCCCUGUUUUCUUGGAUUGUUUUCUGCAUAUUGUAUGUUGUUUGGUGUAUUUAUUUGUUCUGGUUAGGAUUAAUUUUAUGGUUAUUCAUAACGUGUUAGCAACACACCUUCUAACACAUUCUUCCAAACGCACACACUCUGAUUGGUCGAAAUUCAAACAAGUCUCACUAAAUUGUGUAGGUCUGACAUAAGUUUUGAUCUAUGAAUUUAGACAACCAACAACCAAGCCUUAUUCCACUAAAUCUGGUAUUCUAACUACUUCGGCCAUGUCCUUUGUUCUAUAUGAAUUUAGACCCUUGGGAAAAAAGUGUGAAAAAGAGAAUAUUAAACGGUGUAUAUUGCUAACAUUUCGCUUUCUCAAAUUCAAUCUAGUGUUACAAGCAUCUUUGGUCUUGUGUGAGUUGUAAAUAAUACCCAUUAGGCCAUAUAAUUUUACAAUGCACACGUAGUAACUUGCUUUAGUAAAAGGUUUUCAAGGGAUAAUAGCAGCAUCAAUGCCAACACAUGGUGUAAGUAAGAGUAUGGUAUGGUGGGCAUGCAGGGGAUCUGCUUUUACACUUUCUUGACAAAUCACACUUUAUUCUUUACCUUCUUUGUUCUUGUAAUUUGCGCAUUCAUAUGUCAGAGAAUGUUCUUUUGUAUUAUUAUAACUCAUCAGUCACUCAUCAUGAGUACUAAGUGGGAGAUGAUAAUGAGGGGAUGAUUAUUAUGAUGAUUAUGUACUAUUGAUUACUUUCAUGUUUUACUGAGCCAUGUUGGUUCAAAUUGGUACAUAUGAAUGAACCCAUUUGAUACUUUUAUAUUCUUUGUAUAUCUAUUCAUGUUAUUUUUUUCCUUUUAUCUUUGUACUUUAGGGGCUAUUGCUGCAUCUUCUAAUUAUAAGGUUAGAUUUCAAUGCACAAGUAUGAUUGCAAUUUGUUAAAAAAAAUGCCUAUAUACAAACAUUGUGCUGAUUUGGUUUGGCAAUUUCAUAUAUGCAUCAAACUUUUUCAAUUCAUUAUUUUAGGCUUUUACUUAUUGGUAUGCAAAGUGGUGGGAAAUGGCCUAUGAGAUUUUGGUAUAUAGAUAUAUUAAAGUUAUGCAUAAGCAUAUGCAUGGUGGUAUUCUUUCUUGUGCAUUACAUUUCUUUGAUAUCUUUACAUGCUUAUGCUUUUGAAGCAAAGUUUAAUUUAUGCUUCUUUACAGAAAUUUGUCUAAAUCUCCUUUUAAUAAAGCAAUGCUAUUUGCACCAUCAGAUUAUAAUCCUGUGGUGUUGAGAUAUCAUUCUUAUCUAAUCUUUCUUGCCUCUUCAAUGGUUUUAGGUAUCCACUCAUAAAAAUGGUUGAUAUUUUGAGAAAGGGAGCAUGUAAAAGAGAAAAUAAAAGGGGGGAUAAAAAGAAAAAGAGGCAUGUGUAUAAGCAUUAAAAGCCACGAAUAUGUUGGAUGGGCAAAAAAUUCAGUGUAGGUCAGCCUUGAGAGAAAGCUAAGGUUAAAUGAAGGGUAUCAAGAAUAAAGCCAUAAAAAGUGUUCUCAUAUGGAAUGUCAAUGAUCAAAGGGAUCAUAUUCCAUCUAAGAAAUAUGUUAAUAUUGCAAGAUUGAUUCAUCAAGAGAACAGAAGAGCCUUAAGCAGAGGAGUGUUAUUUGUAGCAGAAGUUCUAAAUCAAGCUGCAGUUAAUAUGUACUAGAAUGAAAAAUUUCACUUCAACUAUCUAUAUACUAUAAGUCAAUUAGUUAAUUAGAUCUUGACUAACUAUUAGAUUGUAAUGUAAUUAUGUAUAAUAUUAAAGUGUAGGGUUAGACUUCUGCUUUAAUUGAGGCAUCAUGCAUCACGCACUAUUUGACUUUUUUAAUAAUUGUUUGAGCUGCCUCGGUGUGCAUGCAUAGAGUGAAUGAGCUGCGUUGUCGUAUUUUUG